AUUGAACGCUGGCGGCAGGCUUAACACAUGCAAGUCGAACGGUAGCAGGAGAAAGCUUGCUUUCUUGCUGACGAGUGGCGGACGGGUGAGUAAUGCUUGGGAAUCUGGCUUAUGGAGGGGGAUAACUACGGGAAACUGUAGCUAAUACCGCGUAGUAUCGGAAGAUGAAAGUGCGGGACCGUAAGGCCGCAUGCCAUGAGAUGAGCCCAAGUGGGAUUAGGUAGUUGGUGGGGUAAAGGCCUACCAAGCCUGCGAUCUCUAGCUGGUCUGAGAGGAUGGCCAGCCACACUGGAACUGAGACACGGUCCAGACUCCUACGGGAGGCAGCAGUGGGGAAUAUUGCGCAAUGGGGGGAACCCUGACGCAGCCAUGCCGCGUGAAUGAAGAAGGCCUUCGGGUUGUAAAGUUCUUUCGGUAUUGAGGAAGGAGGUUAUGUUAAUAGCAUACAUUAUAAGACGUUAAAUACAGAAGAA
This 473-nucleotide ribosomal RNA is filed under the name Haemophilus sp. oral taxon 036. Its description in RNAcentral is "bacterial SSU rRNA". It matches the Rfam family "Bacterial small subunit ribosomal RNA", at positions 30 to 489 of the family's 1533-position model. The record is from RNAcentral. Lineage: Bacteria; Pseudomonadati; Pseudomonadota; Gammaproteobacteria; Pasteurellales; Pasteurellaceae.